UGGGGAAUAUUGCACAAUGGAGGGAACUCUUAUGCAGCGACGCCGCGUGAGUGAUGAAGGAAUUCGUUUCGUAAAACUCUGUUCUAUGGGAAGAAAAGGACUGUACCAUAGGAGAAAGCUCCGGCUAAAUACGUGCCAGCAGCCGCGGUAAUACGUAUGGAGCGAGCGUUGUCCGGAAUUAUUGGGCGUAAAGGGUGCGCAGGCGGCUUUACAAGUUGGAUGUGAAAUAUUGUGGCUCAACCACAAACGUGCAUCCAAAACUGCAAAGCUUGAGUUAAGGAGAGGUAAGUGGAAUUCCUGGUGUAGCGGUGGAAUGCGUAGAUAUCAGGAGGAAUACCGGUGGCGAAGGCGACUUACUGGACUUAAACUGACGCUCAGGCACGAAAGCGUGGGGAGCAAACAGG
RNAcentral lists this ribosomal RNA (404 nucleotides) under Fusobacteriota bacterium. Its description in RNAcentral is "Fusobacteria bacterium partial 16S ribosomal RNA". It matches the Rfam family "Bacterial small subunit ribosomal RNA", at positions 355 to 776 of the family's 1533-position model. Lineage: Bacteria; Fusobacteriati; Fusobacteriota. The record is from RNAcentral.